UCCCGUUUAGCUCAGUGGUAGAGCGCAUCACUUGUACGAAGUUGUUUCAGAGCAGCUGACGCAUAUGAUGAGGUCAGUCGUUCAAUCCGGCUAACGGGAA
Non-coding RNA from Fomes fomentarius, 100 nucleotides. Lineage: Eukaryota; Fungi; Basidiomycota; Agaricomycetes; Polyporales; Polyporaceae. The record is from the annotation of a GenBank genome assembly.